GGAUCUGAGGGGGAUCUCGCUGCGACAUCUGUCACCCAAUCCACUGAUCGCCAGGGUUGAUUCUGCUGAUCUGGCGGGUGUCCCCUUCCUCCUUCACCACUCCAUGUGCAUCCCUCCCCAAGCUGUGUGCUUGGAAGAGGACUGUCUUCCCGGAAUAGAGGCGGACUGGCCUUCAGUGGAGGAGUAGCUGUGCUCCCCUGCUAGAGUCUCCAAACAAGCUCCCAUGAGAGUACGGGAAGGAGUGUGAAAUUACCAUCGUAUGGAGGGCUGGGAAAUUAUCAACACGGAGCCAUGAUUCCUGCCAGUCUUUGAUCAUAGAUAGACAGGUUGACAGAUCAA
Molecule: unclassified non-coding RNA, 339 nt
Organism: Erinaceus europaeus (western European hedgehog)
Lineage: Eukaryota; Metazoa; Chordata; Mammalia; Eulipotyphla; Erinaceidae
Gene: 7SK
Rfam family: 7SK RNA
About the family: 7SK was discovered as an abundant small nuclear RNA in the mid-70s but a possible function has only recently been suggested. Two independent studies have found that 7SK RNA binds the CDK9/cyclin T complex (known as elongation factor P-TEFb). P-TEFb activates transcription by phosphorylating the C-terminal domain of RNA polymerase II.
Source: Ensembl